UACGUAGGGGGCAAGCGUUGUCCGGAUUCAUUGGGCGUAAAGAGCUCGUAGGCGGCUUGGCAAGUCGGGUGUGAAACCUCCAGGCUCAACCUGGAGACGCCACCCGAUACUGCUAUGGCUAGAGUCCGGUAGGGGACCACGGAAUUCCUGGUGUAGCGGUGGAAUGCGCAGAUAUCAGGAAGAACACCCGUGGCGAAGGCGGCUCUCUGGAACGCAACUGACGCUGAGACGCGAAAGCGUGGGGAGCAAACAGG
This 254-nucleotide ribosomal RNA is filed under the name uncultured bacterium. Its description in RNAcentral is "partial 16S ribosomal RNA". It matches the Rfam family "Bacterial small subunit ribosomal RNA", at positions 524 to 776 of the family's 1533-position model. The record is from RNAcentral.